GGGCCGUGCUCAGAGGAUGUGGCGAAGUUUUGUUUGGAGCAGGAACUCCAUUGGCAAUUUAUGAAUUUCCAGUUAGAUUUAACGUGUGAGUGACGUUUUCAGGCCAAGGAUAUUAUUGGAUUCCCAGGAUGUGAGGACUUGGCUUGUGUUUUCAAUGGCUGGACAUCCAUGUCGGCGAUUUGGUUCAACGUUCAUGUCGAUUUUGCUGAGAUGGGCAUUGAGGUUGUUGUGUCCUGACCGUAAUAUAUAGAGAGCUAUAUGUUAAUCGGUCUGUGUGGGUGGUGGAACCAUUCUGUAAUGCCCAAUCUUGAUUUGAAGGGCAAUGAUCUUCUGGCUGGUAAUGUUGUUUUUGAUGGUAUUGCUGAGAGGUAUAUUUCCAGUAUCGUUUGCCAGAUUGUCUGCUUGGGUAUUGCCUGGGAUGCCUACGUGCCUUGGAAUCCAAAUCAGGUGAGUUUUGGUUCCUGCUGCUUUAAGACUUAGUAACAUGUUCCAUAUUGCAAUAAUUCUUUCCUCACAGCUAGAUUAUUCGUAUAAAAAAAAUUUAAAAAAAUU
This is a long non-coding RNA of Daphnia magna, 552 nucleotides long. RefSeq lists it as uncharacterized. The record is from RefSeq and is a predicted model, not a curated record. The transcript is spliced from 3 exons. Lineage: Eukaryota; Metazoa; Arthropoda; Branchiopoda; Diplostraca; Daphniidae.